RNAcentral lists this ribosomal RNA (464 nucleotides) under uncultured bacterium. RNAcentral's name for it is "partial 16S ribosomal RNA". It matches the Rfam family "Bacterial small subunit ribosomal RNA", at positions 339 to 795 of the family's 1533-position model. The record is from RNAcentral.
CUACGGGCCGCUCCAGUGGGGAAUAUUGGACAAUGGGGGAAACCCUGAUCCAGCAAUGCCGCGUGUGUGAAGAAGGCCUGCGGGUUGUAAAGCACUUUCGGUUGGGAGGACUGCUUCUAGCACUAAUAUUGUUGGAAGUUGACGUUACCUUCAGAAGAAGCACCGGCUAACUCCGUGCCAGCAGCCGCGGUAAUACGGAGGGUGCAAGGUUAAUCGGAAUUACUGGGCGUAAAGCGCGCGUAGGCGGCUAGAUCAGUCGGGUGUGAAAGCCCCGGGCUUAACCUGGGAACUGCAUCCGAUACUGUCUAGCUUGAGUACAGGAGAGGAGAGUGGAAUUCCACAUGUAGCGGUGAAAUGCGUAGAUAUGCGGAGGAACACCAAUGGCGAAGGCAGCUCUCUGGCCUGAUACUGACGCUGAGGUGCGAAAGCGUGGGGAGCAAACAGGAUUAGAUACCCCAGUAGUC